RNAcentral lists this long non-coding RNA (457 nucleotides) under Vulpes vulpes (red fox). RNAcentral describes it as "lncRNA (ENSVVUG00000010897.1)". The record is from RNAcentral. Lineage: Eukaryota; Metazoa; Chordata; Mammalia; Carnivora; Canidae.
UUUGUGGGCCUUCACCCUUUCUCUAGGAGCCUCCCUCCCUAGGUUGAUGAAAAAAGUAUGUGUUAUAACUCAACCGAGAAAAGAAGAGUGUGUAUUGGAGACAAGAACUUGCACAGUUAAAUAACUCAAUCUGUGAAAUAGAAUAUAGCUGCUGACUAGUGACUGAGGUGCAGACUGUCAACUGGAAGGGUUGACCAAAUUAUUCACAAAUGCUGGAAAAUUCAGAAGAAAAAAAGGAGAGAAAGGAAGGAAGAAAUGAAGGACAGAAGGGUGAACAAAGAGAAAAGAAGAAAAUGAACAGACAAAAACUACAAUGGGACCGCUGAGGGAUGAAGUUGAAUCAGUGCAUCUCCACCUUCCACACCUAGAAGAAAGAGUAUAGAAGUAAGUAUUCCCUGCCUCCCCAACCCCCGUCAAUCAUCUCCGUCCGUUAGGGCUUACCAUGAGCUCAACACAA